UACGAAGGGUGCUAGCGUUGUUCGGAAUCAUUGGGCGUAAAGGGUGCGUAGGCGGUUUGGUAAGUCAGUUGUGAAAUCCCGGGGCUCAACCUCGGAAUUGCAAUUGAAACUGCUUGACUAGAAUUUGGUGGGGGAUAGUGGAAUUCUUAGUGUAGGGGUGAAAUCCGUAGAUAUUAAGAGGAACACCGGUGGCGAAGGCGACUAUCUACUCCAAUAUUGACGCUGAGGCACGAAAGCGUGGGGAGCAAACAGG
RNAcentral lists this ribosomal RNA (253 nucleotides) under uncultured bacterium. Its description in RNAcentral is "partial 16S ribosomal RNA". It matches the Rfam family "Bacterial small subunit ribosomal RNA", at positions 524 to 776 of the family's 1533-position model. The record is from RNAcentral.